UCAUCAGUCUCCACUCCCUCCCAUCCCCAGUGCAUUUUAGCACCCACCACACCCGGACGACACCGUUUCUGAAAUGGCGGCGUCAGCUUCGUCGGCAAGCCUCCAACUGUCGUCGCCGUCCACCACCGCCACAUGGCUGCGCCACCGGCCCCUCGGCCUCAGCAGCCUCUCUCUCCGCCACCACCGCGACCUCCAGCCCCGCCGCCUCGUCGUCCUCUCCAUGGACGCCAAGCCGACGAUUCUCGUGUCGGAGAAACUGGGAGAGGCCGGCCUCAACCUCCUCAAGGAGUUCGCCAACGUUGAUUGCUCCUACAACCUCAGCCCCGAGGAGCUCUGCACCAAGAUCUCCCUCUGCGAUGCCCUCAUUGUCAGGAGCGGCACCAAAGUGAACCGCGACGUCUUCGAGUCCUCCGCCGGCAGGCUCAAGGUCGUCGGCAGGGCUGGCGUCGGGAUCGACAACGUGGAUCUGGCCGCCGCCACCGAGCACGGCUGCCUCGUCGUCAAUGCUCCCACUGCCAACACCGUCGCCGCCGCCGAGCACGGCAUAGCUCUGCUUACUGCCAUGGCCAGGAACAUCGCUCAAGCCGACGCUUCUGUUAAAGCUGGUAAAUGGGAGAGGAACAAAUACGUUGGUGUGUCUCUUGUUGGUAAGACACUGGCAGUGAUGGGCUUUGGUAAGGUUGGAUCAGAAGUUGCUAGGCGUGCCAAGGGGCUCGGUAUGCAUGUCAUUGCGCACGAUCCCUAUGCCCCAGCUGACCGUGCUCAUGCAAUAGGCGUACAACUUGUGAGCUUUGAUGUGGCUAUUUCAACAGCUGAUUUCAUAUCACUUCACAUGCCCCUCACCGCUGCUACUUCUAAAAUUCUCAAUGAUGAAAAUUUUGCAAAGAUGAAAAAGGGUGUUAGAAUAAUAAAUGUUGCUCGUGGAGGUGUGAUUGAUGAAGAAGCAUUGGUGAAGGCCAUUGAUGCUGGCAUUGUAGCACAGGCUGCACUGGAUGUCUUCACAGUCGAGCCACCGCCCAAGGAUAGCAAGUUGGUACAGCAUGAAAAUGUGAUUGCUACACCACAUCUUGGCGCCAGCACGAUGGAAGCUCAGGAAGGAGUUGCUAUUGAAAUAGCUGAAGCUGUGGUGGGUGCGCUAAAGGGGGAACUCGCUGCAACUGCUGUCAAUGCACCUAUGGUGCCUGCUCAGGUUCUCACCGAGCUGAAGCCCUAUGUUGCCCUUGGUGAAAAGCUUGGCAGGCUUGCUGUUCAGUUAGUUGCAGGUGGGGACGGCGUGAAAUCUGUGAAAGUUACAUAUGCAUCUGCAAGGGCGCCAGACGAUCUGGACACGAGGUUGCUCCGAUCCAUGAUCACCAAGGGUCUGAUAGAGCCCAUCUCAAGCGUCUUCGUGAAUUUGGUGAAUGCUGAUUUCACAGCCAAACAGAGAGGACUCCGCAUAACUGAAGAACGUAUCAUCCUGGACGGCUCACCUGAAAACCCACUCGAGUCUGUCCAAGUCCAAAUUGCAAAUGUGGAGUCAAAAUUCGCCAGUGCCAUCUCUGAUUCUGGUGAGGUCACAGUUGAAGGUCGGGUCAAGGACGGAAUUCCACAUCUAACGAAGGUGGGGUCUUUUGAAGUGGACGUGAGCUUGGAAGGCAGUCUGAUUUUGUGCAGGCAAGUCGAUCAGCCAGGAAUGAUUGGGAAAGUGGGUAGCAUUCUAGGAGAGGAAAACGUGAAUGUGAGCUUCAUGAGCGUUGGAAGGAUAGCCCCGAGGAAGCAAGCUGUGAUGGCCAUUGGAGUAGAUGAAGAACCAAGCAAGCAGUCGUUGAAGAGGAUUGGUGAAAUCUCGGCCGUUGAGGAAUUCGUCUACCUUAAGCUCUAAGUCGUGUAUCUCCCCAGUUGGCAGUGGUCAUCUCAUCAAAUUUUGUUACCAGGAGAGUAUGCUCCUAAUGAUAAAAUGCAUGAGAAGGCAUUCAGUUUCCAUAAAGUAGAGACCAUCCCAUUCCUUCCCUUACAUUCAUGUUAUGGCCACCACGGGACAAACUAACGCGGUGGCGGCCUGGGCCGCGGCUGCAUUGGUGGGGGCGAUUCUCUGCAUGGUGAUCCCAGGGACUGGGGCGCAGGGGAUGCUACCGGAGGUCGAAAUAACGCUGGCAAACGACGGGCAGACCCCGGUGUGGUUCAUGUGCCAGUUGACGCACAAGGGAGACUCGUUGUACGAGCUGGCACCAAACAGCACGUACCGGUUCAGCUUCACGCACGUGGCUUUCCCUAUGCGGUGGUGCUACCUGUACAUCCAUCCGGGCAGUCAUGGGUUCUUCUGGGUGUACACGGUGCGAUCGAGGUGCACCAAGUGCUUCUGGAGCAUCGACAGGCACCCGUCCCUCUACCGCAACGACAUCGGCCGUUGGGAGAGGCAGAAGCUCUUCAUGCCGCCUUCUUUCAAUAUCUCUAAUUUCUUGGUUACUGCUAUUUAAUCUGCCAGAUAGUCGUUAAGAUUCAUUGGUUUUGUUUCUUUCCAUCA
Molecule: RNA transcript, 2503 nt
Organism: Salvia hispanica
Lineage: Eukaryota; Viridiplantae; Streptophyta; Magnoliopsida; Lamiales; Lamiaceae
Gene name: D-3-phosphoglycerate dehydrogenase 3, chloroplastic-like
Source: RefSeq, a predicted model, not a curated record